RNAcentral lists this ribosomal RNA (618 nucleotides) under uncultured Alphaproteobacteria bacterium. Its description in RNAcentral is "bacterial SSU rRNA". It matches the Rfam family "Bacterial small subunit ribosomal RNA", at positions 28 to 692 of the family's 1533-position model. Lineage: Bacteria; Pseudomonadati; Pseudomonadota; Alphaproteobacteria. The record is from RNAcentral.
AACGAACGCUGGCGGCAGGCCUAACACAUGCAAGUCGAGCGCACCCUUCGGGGCGAGCGGUGGACGGGUUAGUAACGCGUGGGAAUGUACCCUUUUCUACGGAAUAGCCAUUGGAAACGAUGAGUAAUACCGUAUACGCCCUUUGGGGGAAAGAUUUAUCGGAGAAGGAUCAGCCCGCGUUAGAUUAGAUAGUUGGUGGGGUAAUGGCCUACCAAGUCUACGAUCUAUAGCUGGUCUUAGAGGAUGAUCAGCAACACUGGGACUGAGACACGGCCCAGACUCCUACGGGAGGCAGCAGUGGGGAAUCUUAGACAAUGGGCGCAAGCCUGAUCUAGCCAUGCCGCGUGAGUGAAGAAGGCCUUAGGGUCGUAAAGCUCUUUCGCCAGGGAUGAUAAUGACAGUACCUGGUAAAGAAACCCCGGCUAACUCCGUGCCGGCAGCCGCGGUAAUACGGAGGGGGUUAGCGUUGUUCGGAAUUACUGGGCGUAAAGCGCACGUAGGCGGAUUAGAAAGUAUGGGGUGAAAUCCCAGGGCUCAACCCUGGAACUGCCUCAUAAACUCCUAAUCUAGAGUUCGAGAGAGGUGAGUGGAAUUCCGAGUGUAGAGGUGAAAUUCAUA